RNAcentral lists this transfer RNA (52 nucleotides) under Acinetobacter baumannii PR07. Its description in RNAcentral is "tRNA-Ser". It matches the Rfam family "tRNA", at positions 24 to 71 of the family's 71-position model. Rfam says of the family: Transfer RNA (tRNA) molecules are approximately 80 nucleotides in length. Their secondary structure includes four short double-helical elements and three loops (D, anti-codon, and T loops). The record is from RNAcentral. Lineage: Bacteria; Pseudomonadati; Pseudomonadota; Gammaproteobacteria; Moraxellales; Moraxellaceae.
CAACUGACUUGUAAUCAGUAGGUCCACAGUUCGAAUCCGUGUGCCGGCACCA